AACGAACGCUGGCGGCGCGUCUUAAACAUGCAAGUCGAACGAUCUGUAGCAAUACAGGGAGUGGCGGACGGGUGAGGAACACGUAGGAAUCUACCUAGAAGAGCGGGACAACCCUGGGAAACCGGGGCUAAUACCGCAUAGUACAGUGAUGUUAAAGGGCUAGCAAUAGUCGCUUCUAGAUGAGCCUGCGGUCUAUCAGCUUGUUGGCGGGGUAACGGCCCACCAAGGCGACGACGGAUAGCCGGUCUGAGAGGAUGAUCGGCCACACUGGCACUGAGACACGGGCCAGACUCCUACGGGAGGCAGCAGUUAAGAAUCUUGCGCAAUGGACGAAAGUCUGACGCAGCGACGCCGCGUGAAGGAUGAAGGCUUUCGGGUUGUAAACUUCGGUAGACUGGGAAGAAAAAGUAAGUUCGUUGAGGGCUUACAUUGACGGUACCAGUCUGAAGCCCCGGCUAAUUACGUGCCAGCAGCCGCCGUAA
Molecule: ribosomal RNA, 482 nt
Filed under: uncultured bacterium
Lineage: Bacteria
Description: partial 16S ribosomal RNA
Rfam family: Bacterial small subunit ribosomal RNA
Source: RNAcentral